GGAUCAAGCCAGAAAAAAUUAAGGAGGGCAUUGUCAUUGUAGCCCGUAGAAGAUCAUCUUUGGAACCGACAGUGUGUGAAGCACCACAUAUGGGCUAAGUUCUAAGGAAUGGAAGGGUGGGACAUAUCUGGAACAGAUGGAGGUGUUGAAUGGAGAAAUGAUGAUGUUCUGCCAGAGUGCCAGGGGAGCAGGAAGUAGGUCCUGCAGAAAGGAAAGGCCUCCUUCACUGCAGAAGCUUAGCCAAUAUUUGUCGAACAGAAUUUAACCCAGGGGUAGUGGGGCAUGGAAGGUCAAUUGUCCCCUGAGAUCACUUAAUAACCUACUUCAAGUUUGUCAGUCAAGUGUUUUGGUAGCAAAAAAAAAAAAAGGGGGGGGGGGAAGGAGAUCAAGACCUCCGAGAGAAUAAAGAUGGAAAAGUAAGAUUGACGUGGGUGGAUCACAGGGAGGAGAGAGAGACUGUGGAAAUGAAGAAAACGACAGGAAGACAGUGGGAUAGAACAGGAUGAUUCAGCUUUUUAAUACAGGUACGUGAAGACAGCUUACCGUUAAAUGCAAUGAUUCCUGUGUGUGCGUCAGAGGGAAGAGGGAAGGAGGGAAAGGAGGAGGAGCAGGAUAAAAUGGAGAAGAAGAGAGAGAGAGAGGGAGAAGGAAUAGAAGAGAAGAGAAGAAAGAGAAGAGAAGAUGGUGAGAUGGAGCCAGGGAGAGAGGGAAGGGAGAGACAGAGAGAGAAGGAGGUGGGGGAGAAGGGGAGAGAAGGAGGUGGCAGGGAAGAAGGGAGGAAAGGGGGAUGGAGGGAUGGAUGGAGGGGGAGAGAGAAAGAGAGAACAUGCACAGAGAACAUGAGUGGUGAAGCAUCCAUAGACUAUUAAUGCAGUUGAGUUUCAUUCCCCCUUGCUUCUUAUAGCGUGAACUUCUUGCCGCGCUAGGUGUGAUUUUACGCAAUGGCUACUAAAAUAAAAGAACAAAUUAAUUCGUCUCAUGUCCAAAAAAGGAUAUAGCAAUCUGUUCCAACCUUGGAGGCAAAUCUGGUUGUGCUGGACCUAUUGAGAGUGGUG
RNAcentral lists this long non-coding RNA (1055 nucleotides) under Equus caballus (horse). Its description in RNAcentral is "lncRNA (ENSECAG00000050144.1)". Lineage: Eukaryota; Metazoa; Chordata; Mammalia; Perissodactyla; Equidae. The record is from RNAcentral.